This 433-nucleotide ribosomal RNA is filed under the name uncultured bacterium. RNAcentral's name for it is "partial 16S ribosomal RNA". It matches the Rfam family "Bacterial small subunit ribosomal RNA", at positions 29 to 507 of the family's 1533-position model. The record is from RNAcentral.
AACGAACGCUGGCGGCAUGCCUAACACAUGCAAGUCGAACGAGACCUUCGGGUCUAGUGGCGCACGGGUGCGUAACGCGUGGGAACCUGCCCUUAGGUUCGGCAUAACUCCCCGAAAGGGGUGCUAAUACCGGAUAAUGUCUUCGGACCAAAGAUUUAUCGCCUUUGGAUGGGCCCGCGUUGGAUUAGCUAGUUGGUAGGGUAAAAGCCUCCCACGGCUACGAUCCAUAGCUGGUCUGAGAGGCUGAUCAGCCACACUGGGACGGAGACACGGCCGGGAAUCUUACGGGAGGCAGCAGUGGGGAAUAUUGGACAAUGGGCGAAAGGAUGAUGCAGCAAUGCUGGGUGAGUGAUGAAGGCCUUAGGGUUGUAAAGCUCGUUUACCCGGGAUGAUAAUGACAGUACCGGGAGAAUAAGCACCGGCUAACUCCGUG